GAUGAACGCUGGCGGCGUGCCUAAUACAUGCCAGUCGAGCGAACAGACGAGGAGCUUGCUCCUCUGACGUUAGCGGCGGACGGGUGAGUAACACGUGGAUAACCUACCUAUAAGACUGGGAUAACUUCGGGAAACCGGAGCUAAUACCGGAUAAUAUAUUGAACCGCAUGGUUCAAUAGUGAAAGACGGUUUUGCUGUCACUUAUAGAUGGAUCCGCGCCGCAUUAGCUAGUUGGUAAGGUAACGGCUUACCAAGGCGACGAUGCGUAGCCGACCUGAGAGGGUGAUCGGCCACACUGGAAUUGAGACACGGUCCAGACUCCUACGGGAGGCAGCAGUAGGGAAUCUUCCGCAAUGGGCGAAAGCCUGACGGAGCAACGCCGCGUGAGUGAUGAAGGUCUUCGGACCGUAAAACUCUGUUAUUAGGGAAGAACAAAUGUGUAAGUAACUAUGCACGUCUUGACGGUACCUAAUCAGAAAGCCACGGCUAACUACGUG
RNAcentral lists this ribosomal RNA (497 nucleotides) under uncultured bacterium. Its description in RNAcentral is "partial 16S ribosomal RNA". It matches the Rfam family "Bacterial small subunit ribosomal RNA", at positions 28 to 507 of the family's 1533-position model. The record is from RNAcentral.